Molecule: long non-coding RNA, 321 nt
Organism: Hippopotamus amphibius kiboko
Lineage: Eukaryota; Metazoa; Chordata; Mammalia; Artiodactyla; Hippopotamidae
Exons: 3
Source: RefSeq, a predicted model, not a curated record
CCCUGUCGAGGCUCUUGAAGGUUCACAGGGGAGCCUUCUCAGUGGUGCGCAGAUGUGUGAAGGUGCUGGCUGGCCAAGAAUAUGCUGCCAAGAUCAUCAAUACCAAGAAGCUCUCGGCCAGAGUUAUUUCUUGAGCACCUACUAUGAGCCAGGCAUUUGGGUAGAUGCCGGGGGUACAACAGAGACCAAAUCCUAGCCCUCAAGGACAGCGAUAUCCCUAUGACAGAGUGGGACAUGCUGUCCAGGAGCCCCAAGAGAACAGAGGAGGAGCCCCUACCAGCUGGCAGUCAGGGCAGGCUGCCAGGAGAGGGUAACAUCGAA